Podarcis lilfordi (Lilford's wall lizard) is the source of this 97-nucleotide non-coding RNA. The record is from the annotation of a GenBank genome assembly. NCBI's taxonomy places the organism in Eukaryota, Metazoa, Chordata, Lepidosauria, Squamata, Lacertidae.
AGAGGUGGGGAGCCUGUAGCCCACCAGAUGUUGUUAGGGAGUUGGAGUCCAGCAACAUCUGGAGGGCCAAAGUCUCCCCACCCCUGCUUUUUGACAA